Molecule: ribosomal RNA, 253 nt
Filed under: uncultured bacterium
Lineage: Bacteria
Description: partial 16S ribosomal RNA
Rfam family: Bacterial small subunit ribosomal RNA
Source: RNAcentral
UACAGGGGCCCCAAGCGUUAAUCGGAAUUACUGGGCGUAAAGCGUGCGCAGGCGGUUUCGUAAGACAGAGGUGAAAUCCCCGGGCUCAACCUGGGAACUGCCUUUGUGACUGCGAGGCUAGAGUAUGGCAGAGGGGGGUGGAAUUCCACGUGUAGCAGUGAAAUGCGUAGAGAUGUGGAGGAACACCGAUGGCGAAGGCAGCCCCCUGGGCCAAUACUGACGCUCAUGCACGAAAGCGUGGGGAGCAAACAGG